UGUAAACUAUCUAUCUAUCUUUCUCUUAUCAAUUCAAUUUAUUAAAUCGUCUCAAUACAAUGCAGACAUUCAUUCAUUGAAUGGUAUCAGACUCAGAAAUCAUGAAUUUCUGACGGUAUCGAUCGAUCUUUCACUAAUAAACCUUAAUUUUUCUUUAAUCCUGCUUCUCUGUCUACAUCAAAACUCAGUUGUACUUCAUCAAAAUCUUCAGUUACAAUUCAUCUAUUUGAAGAGUUCAAUCUCAGAUCUAGAUUUCUUACCUCAAGAUCUUCCAAUUUCAUCUUCAUCAGAGGUUUGUCAUCAUAAUUAGGUUGUUUUUUGCAACCAAAUUUCUUAAUCAAGAUUGCUGUUCUUGAUUCCUGAUGCCGAGAGAGUCUGAGCGUGUUCUAGCUCGCUAAACCAAGCUCUAGUUAGGGCGAAAACUUAAAACCGUUCCACUGAUUGGAUUCAGCAGAAGAUUGAGAAGUUGUUGGUCUCAAUUCUUAUUUCAAGGCAGUCAUCAACAAGGUGUUGAAGAAUCUUGUGUGUCUAAUGAUGUUUCUGAGUUGAAUUUCGUAUUGGAGUUGUGCUGAAUCAAAAGGUUUGAGUUCUCUUUAUCUCGUUCUUGCUGCUGUUAGAUUUUUAUUUGAAGUUUUCAUGGAGCUAGUAUGGAGUUGUGAUUAUUGAUGGUUCUUAGUGUGGAGUUGUAUUUGAUCCUGAUGCUAGUAUUGCAACGUCGUCAAGAGAAUUAAGCAUGAUUUUGGAACUAAAAUUCGGUUUUAGGGUUUGAGCUCUUGGUUAUUUCAAUUGCCAAUUUGGUUGUUUUGGAUUGUAAUCUCUUACCUCAGCAACUGAAAUUUGAGUCUCUGCUGAUGUGCAUUGAUGAGCGUAUGGAGUGAUAGUUUGCUGCACUAUAUAUGUGCUUAAUUUGCUUGUUAUCAGUUCAUCCCAUUGGUACUGGCUUUGGUACAGUCCUCAUUUAUGAGUGGGUUGGCUUGCAAGUUUAAUGAUGAAACUGAAGAUGAUGUUAUGGGAUUGGAAUUGGUGAGUUAUAUUAAGUUCAGGCUGAUGUUCUCUCUGAUGAGUCUACAUUCAAUUCUGAUGUAGCCUGGUUUACUUAUCUUUUAUUGUAUUCAGUUGUUAUUCUUUUCUUUUCCUGCACAAUAAUGACACUUCAUGUGUACUACAAUAAGAUCUUACAAUAAGUUGGAUUGUGAGUUGGUUCUCAAGCUUCCUGCAAGUGUUGAUUCUUAUUCAUCAUCAACUACUACUGCAAUAUGAGUUGUAUUUUUAGUGCUUGCUGGUGAAUGUUUGAAGGCAGAAUGGUGUUCCUUUAAUGUUGAGUUUGGAAGGGUGAAGAGACAUCAGUUGUGUAUCCAUAUUACUGGCACAAUGCAAUCAGUGUGCAGGUUAUCUUAUUGUUUUUUGCUUAUUAUGGUACAACUGACUCAGUGAGAAUGUCCAGUUCUUGUGAUACGAGUGAGGCAACUGCAGCUCUAUAAUUUCUUCUUGGAAUACAACCACUACAGCUGAGAUCAUGGGUCUUUUGCUGUUGGUUUACAAUAUUACUUAUGGUUUCCAAUGUCAAGAGCUCCGUCGCAACUUCUCCGCUACUCAAGCUAUCAUUUGCCGUAUCUGCUGCUGCCUCUGCUGCUGAGCUAUUCACUACGCCUGUUAGCUUUUACAGUUCAUCAAGUCUGCAUCAAUUUUAUAUUCUGCUGUAUUACCUACUUCUCAUACUACCACAGCUCCAUAUUUUCUACUCUCUGCAUCAACCACUACUAUUGCCAGCACGUUUUCUGUUUGCUACUUCACCCACUACGACUACUAUUGCCAUCAGAUAAGUGGAUUCUUCUCCUAGUUGCCUUUGGCUUCAUAUUAAGUUAUCACUGCCGUUGUUUCUGCACCAAUGACUACAGCUGCUGAUGCCAGUAUAGUUAUCAGUUACAUUUCUUGAAUGAUGCACCUUGGGUCAGCUCACAUUUGUUGGAUAAGUCAUUACCUGUUGGAGGAGAACGCUUUUGUUGGAUAAGAGGGUGGAAAACGUACCCGAGUCUUCCAUAACUAAACCACUAUACAUGGUUCUCAGCGCCUUCCAUUCACUGUCAAGUUUUUAUAUUCAAAUUGUUUUUGAUCGUCACAGUUUUUUGCACUUCCAUUCUCAUUUUGUGAAACAACAUCAAUAGUCCUGUAGGAAGCAUAUAAAAAUUACAAAGCAAGAUGAUCACCAUCCAAGAAAAUUUCAAGUAUUUUCUCCA
This is a long non-coding RNA of Papaver somniferum (opium poppy), 2237 nucleotides long. RefSeq lists it as uncharacterized. The transcript is spliced from 2 exons. The record is from RefSeq and is a predicted model, not a curated record. Lineage: Eukaryota; Viridiplantae; Streptophyta; Magnoliopsida; Ranunculales; Papaveraceae.